CCUACGGGUGGCAGCAGUGGGGAAUAUUGCGCAAUGGGCGAAAGCCUGACGCAGCGACGCCGCGUGAGUGAUGAAGGUCUUCGGAUCGUAAACCUCUGUCAGCAGGGAAGAACGGUCACUGUGCUAAUCAUCAGUGAAUUGACGGUACCUGCAGAGGAAGCACCGGCUAACUCCGUGCCAGCAGCCGCGGUAAUACGGAGGGUGCGAGCGUUAAUCGGAAUUACUGGGCGUAAAGCGCACGUAGGCGGUAUGUCAAGUCAAGGGUGAAAUCCCCGGGCUCAACGUGGGAACUGCCUUUGAAACUGGCAAACUUGAGUGUGUGAGAGGAGAGUGGAAUUCCAGGUGUAGGAGUGAAAUCCGUAGAUAUCUGGAGGAACAUCAGUGGCGAAGGCGACUAUCUGGCACAUAACUGACGCUGAGGAGCGAAAGCGUGGGUAGCAAACAGGAUUAGAUACCCCAGUAGUC
Molecule: ribosomal RNA, 465 nt
Filed under: uncultured bacterium
Lineage: Bacteria
Description: partial 16S ribosomal RNA
Rfam family: Bacterial small subunit ribosomal RNA
Source: RNAcentral